GAGAAAAAAAUUCUCACUCAUCAGCCUAAAGAGAAACCCUGUCUUAUCCCAGAUUACCACCAUGGGAUUUAAAAUUCAGUGAGAAGACUGCUUGGGAAAUACUGUCUCCGAACUGCCGGUACAGACACUGCCCAUUGGUACAAUAUUUUUAGGUCAUCUAUCAAUUGCCACGUUUGCAUUUCUUUCAUGCAAUACAAGUUGAAAUCAUAAUGAAAUUCUUGAGUUUCAGGAAUAUCUCAAAAUAAGCUUCUUCAUCCUCAACAAA
Molecule: long non-coding RNA, 265 nt
Organism: Pan troglodytes (chimpanzee)
Lineage: Eukaryota; Metazoa; Chordata; Mammalia; Primates; Hominidae
Exons: 2
Source: RefSeq, a predicted model, not a curated record